RNAcentral lists this long non-coding RNA (1069 nucleotides) under Homo sapiens (human). RNAcentral's name for it is "HSALNT0199308". The record is from RNAcentral. Lineage: Eukaryota; Metazoa; Chordata; Mammalia; Primates; Hominidae.
CCCUGCUUGCCCAACGCGGGGAGCUCCGUCAUACAGAACCCCAGCCUGCACUCCGGCGUCCACUCUCGCCCCCAUUGCUGUGAUCUCCACACAACCACGAGCGGCCUUGAGAGCGCAGCGAGGCCGUGAGGCUGCGCAGAGCCCCUCAGUCAGCAGGACCGCGCUCACGGUUCAGUGGGCCGUCUGCUAGAGGCUUUCCGCAGUUCAUUCCUUCUCCCCACACAACUCUGAAGGUGGUCUAUAUGACCCAGGAAGUCAUGUCCAGGUCUGUGUCCUCUGCCGUCGUGUAUGCUGGCAAAGCGUGAUACCAGCACACAGGAGGGGAAGUCAGUAUCCUCGUGAUGGGCAGAACGGAUCACCGGUGAGUUCUGAGGAGGGCUCUGGAAGGGGAAAUAAGAACUAGAAGAGGCUCUGUCGGUGACCCCUGCCCCAACCCCACUCUGGGAAGGGGUUCAGGGAAGGGAAGAGCGAAGGAGGCUGAGGACCAGGCGGGUCCUGGCCAAGAGGAAGCCGCCUCUUGCCUUGGACCUAGGCAUCAGACCGGCAGGCAUUGUGCUGUGGGGCCAGCUAUUUCAGAGGAAGAUCAGCCCCAGCUCUGGGGCCCAGGACUGCUUGGCUCAUCGAAGAAUCCCGCCAUGCAGGUACGAUGAUGUACAAAAGAGGAAGCAAAGCACUGAACACAGAACCUGGCAAGCUGUAAUCAUCUGGCACAUCUGAACUGUCUGGGUGGUGUCUCCGCUGCUACCGCCUCAGUGCAGGUUUCCAUCAUCUGUUGCCUGUUGACCAUGAAACUCCCAACUCAAUCCUCUCACUCCAGCCUUCCUCAAACCCCAGUGUCUUCCACAUACUAGGACCAGAGUGAUCCUCUGAACAUAAAACUGAUUGAUAACAGAUCAUCCAAAUGGACUAAUAAUUGACCAAUUAAUAAUUGACAAUCAAAAAAUUCUCUCCUCAAAAAAAAAGGCAAGAAAACUGGCAAAAAAUGUCAAAAUCAACUUUUCUAGAACUCUGAAAGUUAACCACCAAAGGCUUGGAAUAAUCCGGGAAGCUUUUAUUUAAUUAAAAUGGC